UAAGAGGUCCCGCCUGCCCUGUGACUAUACGUUUAACGGCCGCGGUAUUUUGACCGUGCGAAGGUAGCGCAAUCACUUGUCUCUUAAAUGGGGACCUGUAUGAAUGGCAUAACGAGGGUUUAACUGUCUCCUUUUCCAAGUUAAUGAAAUUGAUCUCCCCGUGCAGAAGCGGGGAUACAAACAUAAGACGAGAAGACCCUAUGGAGCUUUAGGCAGCAAACAGAUCGUACUAAAUACCCCCUAAUAAAGGAACAAAGCAUACGAAACCUGGCCCAAUGCCUUUGGUUGGGGCGACCGCGGGGAAACAAAAAACCCCCAUGUGGAACGGGACUACCCAUCCUCCAAACAAGAGCCCCCGCUCUAAAAAACAGAACAUCUGACCUACAAGAUCCGGCAGAGCCGAUCAACGAACCGAGUUACCCUAGGGAUAACAGCGCAAUCCCCUUAUAGAGCCCAUAUCGACAAGGGGGUUUACGACCUCGAUGUUGGAUCAGGAUAUCCUAAUGGUGCAGCCGCUAUUAAGGG
RNAcentral lists this ribosomal RNA (525 nucleotides) under Xanthichthys ringens (Sargassum triggerfish). Its description in RNAcentral is "partial 16S ribosomal RNA". It matches the Rfam family "Bacterial large subunit ribosomal RNA", at positions 1846 to 2571 of the family's 2925-position model. Lineage: Eukaryota; Metazoa; Chordata; Actinopteri; Tetraodontiformes; Balistidae. The record is from RNAcentral.